CUUCCUCUCCCCUUUAGGUCUUGCUGAUUUCUGUCCUCCAGGUCUUCUCAGUAGAACGAGGAUAAUCCUGAAUUCAGAACAUAUUUCCUGAGUACCGAGAGUGCCCGGGAGAGGAGGGCCGAGAGCUGGCUCCUGUGCUCCUGAGAGGAUGGUUCCCUGGGUAGGAGCAGAGAGAAGGCCCAGAGGAAGAUGGGAGAGAGGCAGGGCAAAGGAUGCUAUGGAGAUAGCCCAGAGCUGGGCCGCAGGUAUCUCUGCAUAACUCUGAAGAGUUUUGAAGAUGCGAAGUCCUUCCUCUCUGCCCAUCCAGGGAAGCUUCUGGCCACCCUCAGGGUGAGUCGGCAGUGGCGAGUGGAAGUUCCUCAACUUCAUUACAGCUGUGAGGCCUCGAAUUGGCUCUCACCACUCUGGGCAUCCUUUUUUGUAAAACGGAGCCAGUAAUUUCCAUUCUUCUGGUUGUUGUAGGCUGGCAAUGAGGGCAUCCACAGAUGGCACCUGGCCCACUCAUCAAAUGGCAGUUACCCUCUCUCGUGAUGAUUGUCAGCGUCUAGUGUGAAAGAUGGGAAGGGUCUCUACAUCUAUUCUUUCUUUCUUUAUUUUUUUCUUUAAGAGAUAUAAUUGCCCAGGCUGGUCUUGAACUCCUAGACUUGAGCCAUCUGCCUACCUCAGCCUCCUAAAGUGCUGGGAUUACAGGUGUGUGCCCCCAAGCCCGGCCUGCACUGCAUUCCUAUUCCGAUGUUACAAGGUGGAUGGGGCCAUGAUAGAGGUUUGAGCCAGCAAGGAGGGUGUGGCACGAGGCCUGAUGGCUUCCUGGAGGAGGAGGUGUUUGAAUUAGGCCAUCGGAGACAGAACAGACUCACUGGGAAGGUAGCUGUGUGUGCCAGGUGCACCAGCCGGGCUGCCAGGCGCUGAUUUGUAGAAAUUCUCUGGGGGGUUCUCUGAGUGAGGAAGAAGGAUCCUGUGGGGCCUGGGCAAGGCUAGAAGUGCAGCCUGGGAAACAGGCUCAGCAGUACAAGUACAGCUUCUUCCUUUCUUUUUCUUCUGCUUGUUGAAGCCUGAUUUACAUAUAUCAAAUGCACCAGUCGCAAUGAGUUUUAAAAAUAUGUAUUGGCAGCUUUAUGGAAGUAUAACUGAAGGAUAACCUGCAUGCAUUCAAAAUGUACAAUUUGGCCAGGUACGGUAGCUCAUACCUGUAAUCCCAACACUUUGGGAGGCCAAGGCAGGUGGAUCACCUGAGGUCGGGAGUUCGAGACCAGCCUGGUCAACAUGGUGAAACCCCAUCUUUACUAAAAAUACAAAAAUUAGCCAGGCAUGAUGACACGUGCCUGUAAUCCCAGCUACUCAGGAGGCUGAGGCAGGAGAAUCUCUUGAACCCGGGAGGUAGAGGUUGCAGUGAGCAGAGAUUGUGCCAUUGCACUCCAGCCUGGGCAACAGAGCGAGACUCCUUCUCAAAAAAAAAAAAAAGUACAAUUUGAUGAUUUGGGGCAGAUGUGUCCAUCCGUAGAACCAUCACCACAGUCAAGAUAAUGAAUAUAUGCAUCACCCCAAAAGUUUCCUCUUGCCCCAUGUAAUCCCUCGCUCCCUCUCUCCCCAUGUAAUCCCUCCCUCCCUCUCUCCCCAUGUAAUCCCUCCCUCCCUCUCUCCCCAUGUAAUCCCUUUCUCCCUCCCUCAGGCAACCACUGUUCUGAUUUCCAUCACUAUAGAUUAGCUGCUAUUUUGUAGAAUUUUAUAGAAAUUGAAUAAUAUAGUAUUACUCUUUUUUGUUUAGCUUUUUAAAAAAACUCGUCAUUAUGGCUGGGCGCAGUGGCUCAUGCCUGUAAUCCCAGCACUUUGGAAGGCCAGGGCCGGCAGAUCACUUGAGGUCAGAAGUUUGAGAUCAGCCUGGCCAACAUGGCGAAACCCUAUCUCUACUAAAAAGACAAAAAUUAGCUGGGCGUGGUGAUGUGCACCUGUAGUCCCAGCUUCUCCAGAGGCAGGAGAAUUGCUUGAAUCCAGGAGGUGGAAGUUGCAGGGAGCGGAGAUAGUGCCACUGCACUCCAGCCUGGGCAACAGAGCAAGAUGCCAUUUCAAAAACAAAAACAAUGGCGAGGGGCAGUGGCUCAUGCCUGUAAUCCCAGCACUUUGGGAGGCCGAGGCAGGUGGAUCACCUAAGUCGGGAGUUCGAGACUAGCCUGAUCAACAUGGAGAAACCCCAUCUCUCCUAAAAAUACAAAACUAGCCGGGUAUGGUGGCGCAUGCCUGUAAUCCCAGCUACUCGGAAGGCUGAGGCAGGAGAAUCACUUGAACCCAGGAGGCGGAGGUUGCGGUGAGCUGAGAUCGCGCCACUGCACUCCAUCCUGAGCAACAAGAGCAAAACUCCAUCUCAAAAACAAACAAAUAAACAGAAAAAAAAAAAACA
This 2395-nucleotide long non-coding RNA is filed under the name Theropithecus gelada (gelada). RNAcentral describes it as "lncRNA (ENSTGEG00000022377.1)". The record is from RNAcentral. Lineage: Eukaryota; Metazoa; Chordata; Mammalia; Primates; Cercopithecidae.